AUGGUUUUAAAUGCUAAUUUGCUGAAUUAGAAAUGUAUAUCUAUCUCUUAAAUUAGUUUGGAGAGUCUCCCUGUAUAUUGCUGCACUAGAGCUGCCUACAAUUUCAGCUGUGAACCACAGAAACUUCUGGAGAGUCACAGCUUCCCAAAUCUUGAUUAAAAUAUCUCACUUGUGUUCUUUUUAAUCUUCUGGUUUUUCUCCUGCCACUUUGAAUCAUUGGCAAUAGAGAAGGCUUAAUGUGAUGGAAUUCCCAGAGCCUCAAAAUGAAAAUGGACAUUUUGAAAAUACUGAGGAACAAGAACAGAUGGGACAUUUUUAUGGCAUCAAAUUAUUAUCAAGCACCCUCCCCAUGUAGCCAAGAAAUAGAAAGAAGAUCAAAUGCAAAGGAAGCACACAGAAACUUUGACACAUUUUGUUAAUGAGAACCAAGUUACAUAUAUUCAGUUUCAAAAAUUAUUCAACAUAAAUCCUUUUUUCCUAAAUCUGUCUAUUCAGAAUCUGUGUCAUAAUCUCACUUUUUGUAGUACUCAACUAAUUUAAGGGCAGUAUCAUAUCUCAAAAUUUUCUAAAUCUGAGUUUAAAAUGUUAUACUUUAAUGCUAUAUUGAUGUUAUUUUAAUAUCAGCUAUAUAAAAGUAUGGAAGAAAAUGCUGAAAGAUCCGAAGAACAGUUUUAUCCACCUGGCUAAGCCUUUAUUUCUUUUUCAAUUUCUUUCGUAGCUCUCCCAUCACUGAUUUCUACUUAAUCUUUCUUAAAGUCUAAAUCAGUAGGGUUUAGUGCCUGUCUCUGAUUGUCGGUUCAGUAUAAUCCACCCAUUCUUCUCAGCUAUGUAGAUAGUCAGUUCUGAUAAAUAAAUGUAAACUGUUGUAUUAAUUUGCAAGAACUAAAUAUAUUACAGGAAUUGAUGGUGUGCUA
Long non-coding RNA from Pantherophis guttatus, 914 nucleotides. RefSeq lists it as uncharacterized. The record is from RefSeq and is a predicted model, not a curated record. NCBI's taxonomy places the organism in Eukaryota, Metazoa, Chordata, Lepidosauria, Squamata, Colubridae.